Long non-coding RNA from Triticum dicoccoides, 878 nucleotides. RefSeq lists it as uncharacterized. The record is from RefSeq and is a predicted model, not a curated record. NCBI's taxonomy places the organism in Eukaryota, Viridiplantae, Streptophyta, Magnoliopsida, Poales, Poaceae. The transcript has 2 exons.
GGGGGGGGAUGGUCAUAGGUCAGAGCAAGAAAUAACAGCAAUAACAGCAGCCUUUUCGCAAGAACUCUCCGUCUGGCAUAUGCUUGAUCAUCCAAAUGUAACCAAGGGGGAGAGGAAAAUGCCAAUGCUUAUCGGGAUUGUAGUAGUAUUCACCAUUCACGUGUUUGGAGUCUACUGGUGGUACAGGAUACAGGAAUGAUGACCUUGUUAGACCUUUGGUGAUGCUUCCUCCAAAAGAAAUACCACCAUUCUGGCAUGCUAUAUUUUUCAUUGUGGUGAAUGGUAUUCUCUUUUCCCACACAGCAUGAUUUCCUCCAAAAGAAAAUUAUUUGUCUUGAAGUCCACUUCCUGCCCCUUGCCCUGUUUUACGUCGAAUAUCUCAAGCGACAAAAUUUAGUACUUUUUGGUGUUGAUCUCAAGUGCUGGCUCCAACAGCAUUGCAUUUCACCAAGUGAAAUGCUACAUUUCUACUCCUAACCCAUUCUCUCUUUCUUAGUGUUUUUGUUAUGCAGGUUGGAAGAAAAGAAGAAGAUCCAGAGAAGAUCUUAGUAAUAAGAUACUCCCUCCGUUCCUAAAUAUAAGUCUUUUUAGACAUUUCAAAUGGACUACAACAUACAUCCGUAUAUAGACAUAUUUUAGAGUGUAGAUUCAUUCAUUUUGCUCCGUAUGUAGUCACUCGUUGAAAUCUUUAGAAAGACUUAUAUUUAGGAACGGAGGGAGUAGUUUUUAGGAAAAUAGAUAUUUAGUUUUAGGUCAUUUCUUGUAAUUUCAGAUAUGGAGUGCUUGUCUUUAGUUUUUGUUUUGUGAAACUUGCUAUCUAUGGAUGAAAUUGUGUAAUAUUGAUGAAACUAUGUAUAUGUAUGGAUGAAACUUGCUAC